RNAcentral lists this ribosomal RNA (253 nucleotides) under uncultured bacterium. RNAcentral's name for it is "partial 16S ribosomal RNA". It matches the Rfam family "Bacterial small subunit ribosomal RNA", at positions 524 to 776 of the family's 1533-position model. The record is from RNAcentral.
UACGUAGGGGGCAAGCGUUGUCCGGAAUCAUUGGGCGUAAAGAGCGUGUAGGCGGCCAGGUAGGUCCGUUGUGAAAACUCGAGGCUCAACCUCGAGACGUCGGCGGAAACCCUCUGGCUAGAGUCCGGAAGAGGAGAGUGGAAUUCCUGGUGUAGCGGUGAAAUGCGCAGAUAUCAGGAAGAACACCCGUGGCGAAGGCGGCUCUCUGGGACGGUACUGACGCUGAGACGCGAAAGCGUGGGGAGCAAACAGG